GUGUCAGCAGCCGCGGUAAGACAGAGGGUGCAAACGUUGUUCGGAAUUACUGGGCGUAAAGCGCGCGUAGGCAGCAGCGUGUGUCGGGCGUGAAAUCCCACGGCUCAACCGUGGAAGUGCACUCGAAACUGCGCAGCUAGAGUCUCGGAGAGGAAGGCGGAAUGCUUGGUGUAGAGGUGAAAUUCGUAGAUAUCAAGCGGAACACCGGUGGCGAAGGCGGCCUUCUGGACGAUGACUGACGCUGAAGCGCGAAAGCGUGGGGAGCAAACAGGAUUAGAUACCCCCGUAGUCC
RNAcentral lists this ribosomal RNA (292 nucleotides) under uncultured bacterium. Its description in RNAcentral is "partial 16S ribosomal RNA". It matches the Rfam family "Bacterial small subunit ribosomal RNA", at positions 505 to 796 of the family's 1533-position model. The record is from RNAcentral.